Molecule: transfer RNA, 72 nt
Filed under: Anopheles darlingi
Lineage: Eukaryota; Metazoa; Arthropoda; Insecta; Diptera; Culicidae
Description: tRNA ADAC010947
Rfam family: tRNA
About the family: Transfer RNA (tRNA) molecules are approximately 80 nucleotides in length.
Source: Rfam by way of RNAcentral
GCGUCACUCGUCUAGCCGGUAAGACCUCAGCCUUCCAAGCUGAUGACAGGGGUUCGAGCCCCCUGUGACGCU